UGCCUACUGUACCACUUUCAUUGUAUUUGAUAAUUAUUAUCCAAUCGUAAAUUAAAUAAGCUCAAAAGAUUCAUCUCGUAAAUUGUAGACAAAACUCAACAAUUAGUUUAGAUGUGACCAGAAAUCCCAAAAAAUUUAAAAAUUAAACCAGGCCCUAGAAAAGCCUACCUUUCUCGAACUUCCAAACAGAGGAGACACACCUACCGAUCAUGAAAUGCAUAAAAAAAAAAGCCUACAGUAAAAAACUGCCCUUGGAGCCCGGCC
This 264-nucleotide long non-coding RNA is filed under the name Sorghum bicolor (sorghum). RNAcentral describes it as "long non-coding RNA (SBIC_LNC007685)". The record is from RNAcentral. Lineage: Eukaryota; Viridiplantae; Streptophyta; Magnoliopsida; Poales; Poaceae.